UACGGCUAUAACACGUUGAAAGACUGGUUUCUGUAUGAUCACCGAAGUUAAGCAACGUCAAGCCUGGUCAGUAUCUCGAUAAGUGACCGCUUGGGAAUACCAGGUACUGUAAG
Molecule: non-coding RNA, 113 nt
Organism: Acanthosepion pharaonis
Lineage: Eukaryota; Metazoa; Mollusca; Cephalopoda; Sepiida; Sepiidae
Source: the annotation of a GenBank genome assembly